GAUGAAGAACGUAGUGAAAUGCGAUAAGUAAUGUGAAUUGCAGAAUUCAGUGAAUCAUCGAAUCUUUGAACGCACAUUGCGCCCGCCAGUAUUCUGGCGGGCAUGCCUGUUCGAGCGUCAUUACAACCCUCAGGCCCCCGGGCCUGGCGUUGGGGAUCGGCGGAGCCCCCCGUGGGCACACGCCGUCCCCCAAAUACAGUGGCGGUCCCGCCGCAGCUUCCAUCGCGUAGUAGCUAACACCUCGCGACUGGAGAGCGGCGCGGCCAAGCCGUAAAACACCCAACUCUUCUGAAGUUGACCUCGAAUCAGGUAGGAAUACCCGCUGAACUUAAGCAUAUCAAUAAGCGGAGGA
This 352-nucleotide unclassified non-coding RNA is filed under the name soil metagenome. RNAcentral describes it as "partial contains 5.8S ribosomal RNA, internal transcribed spacer 2, and large subunit ribosomal RNA". The stretch from base 1 to 120 matches the Rfam family "5.8S ribosomal RNA", at positions 35 to 154 of the family's 154-position model. The record is from RNAcentral.